CAAUUGGAGGGCAAGUCUGGUGCCAGCAGCCGCGGUUAAUUCCAGCUCCAAUAGCGCAUAUUAAAGUUGUUGCAGUUAAAAAGCUCGUAGUUGAACCUUGGGCCUGGCUGGCCGGUCCGCCUCACGGCGUGCACUGGUCCGGCUGGGCCUUUCUCCUUGGGGAACCCCAUGGCCUUCACUGGCCGUGGGCGGAACCAGGACUUUUACUGUGAAAAAAUUAGAGUGUUCAAAGCAGGCCUUUGCUCGGAUACAUUAGCAUGGAAUAAUAGAAUAGGACGUGUGGUUCUAUUUUGUUGGUUUCUAGGACCGCCGUAAUGAUUAAUAGGGAUAGUCGGGGGCGUCAGUAUUCGGCUGUCAGAGGUGAAAUUCUUGGAUUUGCUGAAGACUAACUACUGCGAAACCAUUCGCCAAGGAUGUUUUCAUUAAUCAGUGAACGAAAGUUAGGGGAUCGAAGACGAUCAGAUACCGUCGUAGUCUUAACCAUAAACUAUGCCGACUAGGGAUCGGACGGGGUUUCUUUUAUGACCCGUUCGGCACCUUACGAGAAAUCAAAGUUUUUGGGUUCUGGGGGGAGUAUGGUCGCAAGGCUGAAACUUAAAGAAA
This 603-nucleotide ribosomal RNA is filed under the name Trichophyton rubrum. Its description in RNAcentral is "SSU rRNA". It matches the Rfam family "Eukaryotic small subunit ribosomal RNA", at positions 545 to 1152 of the family's 1831-position model. The record is from RNAcentral. Lineage: Eukaryota; Fungi; Ascomycota; Eurotiomycetes; Onygenales; Arthrodermataceae.